UGGGGUUACCGAACUCCCUCCAGGGAGCCUAAUAGAUGUAUACGUUUGCUUUGGAAUCAGAUACCUGGAACGGUGUCUCUUCUCACUUCAGAAGGUAAAUACAUUUUCCCACUCACCCAUCGGAAGAAACCACAGUGCUACAAGAUGGUACCUGGAGCAGAACUGCGGUUGAGAACUAGCAGAUACCUGAGCUAGCGAUGAUCAGCUCCCAGCACACAACGGUGAAAGUUGCUUGACAAGGAUCUGUUGGCAGAGAUGCAGAGUUGGAAGCCUGGAGAGGCAAAGUGAAGGGAGAAGUUUACGGUCAUGCAGCUGUAAUUAGGUAAGGUACAUCUGAACAGACAGGCGAGUCAGUCACUGAACCUGUGUACAGUUCUCCCGAGUAUUCUUCUGCAGCCUGGUUUUUCGCCUCUCCCCUCCCC
RNAcentral lists this long non-coding RNA (422 nucleotides) under Fukomys damarensis (Damara mole-rat). Its description in RNAcentral is "lncRNA (ENSFDAG00000024953.1)". The record is from RNAcentral. Lineage: Eukaryota; Metazoa; Chordata; Mammalia; Rodentia; Bathyergidae.